RNAcentral lists this ribosomal RNA (303 nucleotides) under Triticum aestivum (bread wheat). RNAcentral describes it as "partial small subunit ribosomal RNA". Lineage: Eukaryota; Viridiplantae; Streptophyta; Magnoliopsida; Poales; Poaceae. The record is from RNAcentral.
GAAGUUCUAGAUACUUUUUCGUACUUUGUAUCUGGCGUACUUCACCUAAUUUCCUCCAUAGUCUUAGGUUUCGGUGGCAUUUAUCACGCGAUUCUGGGACCCGAGACUCUUGAGGAAUCUUUUCCAUUCUUUGGUUAUGUCUGGAAAGAUAGAAACAAAAUGACUACAACUUAGGGUAUUCACUUAAUUUUGUUAGGUCUAGGUGCUUUUCUUCUAGUACUCAAGGCUCUUAAUUUUGGCGGUGUAUAUGAUACCUGGGCCCCUGGGGGGAGAUGUAAGAAAAAUUACCAAUUUCACCCUUAG